RNAcentral lists this ribosomal RNA (420 nucleotides) under uncultured bacterium. Its description in RNAcentral is "bacterial SSU rRNA". It matches the Rfam family "Bacterial small subunit ribosomal RNA", at positions 356 to 774 of the family's 1533-position model. The record is from RNAcentral.
GGGGAAUAUUGGACAAUGGACGAAAGUCUGAUCCAGCGACGCCGCGUGGAGGAAGAAGUCCUUCGGGAUGUAAACUCAUGAAGCUAACGAAUAAGACGGAAGGGGAACCUUCCGGGAGAAGGUAAUUAGUGAAAAGCCCCGGCUAACUACGUGCCAGCAGCCGCGGUAAUACGUAGGGGGCUAGCGUUAUCCGGAUUUACUGGGCGUAAAGGGUGCGUAGGUGGUUUCUUAAGUCAGGAGUGAAAAUAACGAAGCUUAACAGGUUAAUGCGCUUGAAACUAAAGGGCUUGAGGGCAAUAGAGGGAGAUGGAAUUACCUGUGUAGGGGUGAAAUCCGCAGAUAUAGGUAAGAAGGCCGGUGGGGAAGCCGAUCUCCUGGGUUGACUCUGACACUGAGGUUCGAAAGCUAGGGGAGCAAACC